RNAcentral lists this ribosomal RNA (432 nucleotides) under uncultured bacterium. RNAcentral describes it as "partial 16S ribosomal RNA". It matches the Rfam family "Bacterial small subunit ribosomal RNA", at positions 29 to 506 of the family's 1533-position model. The record is from RNAcentral.
AACGAACGCUGGCGGCAUGCCUAACACAUGCAAGUCGAACGAGACCUUCGGGUCUAGUGGCGCACGGGUGCGUAACGCGUGGGAACCUGCCCUUAGGUUCGGAAUAACUCCCCGAAAGGGGUGCUAAUACCGGAUAAUGUCUUCGGACCAAAGAUUUAUCGCCUUUGGAUGGGCCCGCGUUGGAUUAGCUAGUUGGUAGAGUAAAAGCCUACCAAGGCGACGAUCCAUAGCUGGUCUGAGAGGAUGAUCAGCCACACUGGGACUGAGACACGGCCCAGACUCCUACGGGAGGCAGCAGUGGGGAAUAUUGGACAAUGGGCGAAAGCCUGAUCCAGCAAUGCCGCGUGAGUGAUGAAGGCCUUAGGGUUGUAAAGCUCUUUUACCCGGGAUGAUAAUGACAGUACCGGGAGAAUAAGCUCCGGCUAACUCCGU